CCAGACUUGAAGCUUUCCCAUAAUAACAACAAAGAGUUUGAGUAAGAAUUCCACAGCUUGCCUUCAUCUGUGGCAGACUUGCAUGAAUCAUUUUCAAAUAAAGAUAAUAACUCAGUUGGUCUUGUAGUCCAAACAAAAUGUGCUACUUCAGGAACAUUCACUUCCUAUGUGGACUUUGCUGCUGAGUCAGUGUGAGACCUUGAACAAGUCUCUGUUUGUUUCGUACCAUUCAGAUUUCCUCGUCUGUAAACAUUAAGUAUCUACAUUCACUAAAAGUAGUUCUGAAUGAAUGUUAUUUAAUGGUGCCAAUGAUGUUGGAGGAUACCUGUGCAUCUCAUGCUGUGGUUACAGCAUCAAUUGUGAUGAAUAUAGGAUACUGAGUCCCUCCUAGAAAUGACUUCAGGAACUUCACCCCCCAACUCCACAAUCUGGGAAUGGCAGACAGAUUCAGCACCAGGAGAACAUCACAUAAAGGACAAGUGUGUAUGUUUAAAAAUGGCAAGUUUCGGCCUGGCAUGGUGGCUCACGUCUAUAAUCCCAGCACUUUGGGAGGCUGAGUCUAAGUGUACAGUGCUUGUAAAGUCUGCAGUAGCAUACAGUAAUGUCCAAGGCUUUCACAUCCACUCACCACUCGCUCACUGACCCAGCCAGAGCAACUUCCAGUCCUGAAAGCUGCAUUCAUGUAUAGUUUGAGGGUAUCCAGCCUCAGAUUAUCUGAGGAUGUAGCUCAAGAUUUCCUAAUUUUGCAAACAGCAAGCUUCCCAGGAGAUUCUUAGAUUCCUGCUAACAAAAGGCGGAGACUCACUGGACAGUUACUGAAGAUAGACAGUAGGGGGCGGAAGGGCCCACGCUUCUUUGAUAUUGGUGGCUUUGGUUUUUCAGUGACGGGGGACACUUUGACUUCAGACUCAAUCACCACAAUUGCAAUCAAAAGACGGCUUUAGUUGGAACCUGGAACGUGCUAAUCCUGUCAGGCAGCCUGUGAUUCUGGAAGUGAAGGAACAAAAAAAAAAAAAAAAAGGGAAAAUUUCACAUAAAAUUUCCAUAUGAGGAAGAAGAUGGAAACUUUUGUGUUGUGCGUUCAGUAAAACGGGCACUUUCUUAAGCAGGUGGCAAAGAAAGCCUGAGAAUCCGGCCUGACUUUUUCAUUUCAGAACCCUGCAUUUCCCACACAGAGGAGAUAGAGCACAGCCAUUGCAUGGUAGAUCCAGCUUGCUCUCACAGCCAUUGUGCAAAUAAACAUACAUGUGGCAAGGCAGUGCAGUUUUCAGUUGUUAAAAGUUCUGUCAUGCCACGAGAUGGAGCAAAGGAUAAACGCUGAUGUAAACAGGCAACAGGACUCUGACUCCACACCCCUGUCUGCACGGAGGAUGCUCAGUCCUUACACAACAAAAUGUGAGAUGCUUCCAGUCACCUCCUGGCCCUGACCCCUGAGCUCCGUGCUCACCCCACUGGAGGUCCUGGCAGUUCUCCGAGCAGGCUGUACCUGUCUGGGGUGAUCCUCUCCACUUAAUGUUAGACAUUAAGUUCCCUGUGAAAUCUGUUUUGACUCACUGAGGUUAUGAAUAUUUUAUCACAACUAUCAUCAUAUACUACCAAAUCUCCAAUUUUCUUAUCUCCAUUACUAGACUGUGAGCUCCCUGGAGGCUGGACCUGGGUUUGGCACCGAGUGGCACUCAUACAUACUUCUUGAAUAAGAGAAUGUAUGUACACAGUGGCAUGAAAUUGAUUUGAAUUUGUUGGUUUUCUUAAGUGCUAAAGUUGUAGACAGUUCAGUAAAAACUAUAAAGCGGUUACCCUGUAAACCAUGAGUACUAUUAAUUGGAACCUCCUUUCUUACAUAUCCACUUGUGUUUCUGUUAAUGUUUCCAAAAUAAAUAAAGAGCAGGCUAGAGGGAAACCUCCAGUCCUUAGAAACCACGGCA
Molecule: long non-coding RNA, 1925 nt
Filed under: Homo sapiens (human)
Lineage: Eukaryota; Metazoa; Chordata; Mammalia; Primates; Hominidae
Description: PREDICTED lncRNA (TCONS_00029921)
Source: RNAcentral